UUCACCCAGAGGAUGUCACAGAAUAAAGGAGUGCUUGCUCACAGGCUGUCCCUAAAGCACCAGGAAAUAUAAAUAAAACUCAAAACCAUACUGAAAUGGAAGCAGCUUCAGGAGGAAGUGCAGAGAGAUGCUGCAGUGCCAUUAAGAAGGUUCCCAAUGGUGUUUCCAAGGAGGACUUGCUGCACUAAGGACAGCUGGUUCUGGUGGUCACAUCCUGGAGGAAAAUGGGGAAUAUCAGUUCCCAAUUCCCAAGGCUGGCACAGACUCCAUGUGUCACCUCAGCUGAGUCACACCAAUUUCAAAUCAGGCGUGAUACAGAAGGAAGGGAAAUAACAACACCCGUGUAAGGAAUUCCUUGAUGCUGCUGGGAACCUCCCUGGUAAACCAGCCUGCCCUGAAAUCCCCAGCAAUGAAAACUUGUUUUUUGCCCACUUUUUACAAACUUCAGUGGGUAGAAUGAUUUCAGCAGAUGCAUUUAUUUGUCUGAUUUUGCUGCCUGGAGUCACACAGUGAGGUUUUCUGAGGUAUUAACUAUCACUUUAAAUUCUUCUCGCUUUGAGUCAUCCCAUCCCGUAUAUAAUUUGAACAGGUUUUUGUAUAAUUAUUUCUCUCAAUAAUUACCAUUGUACAAUUUCUAUAGCUGCCAGUUUUGUUUUUCUCUCCUGCCAGAGAACAGCAGAAAUGUAUUACAUGUUAGUGUAACUUAUGUUUUUGGAUUCAUGUUUAAAAUGCAUGGAAUAUUUUUCAUCUUCUGUUUGAAGCAAUACCUCAUCUGGGAUCAUAUCUCACAGUGUAAGUUUACACUGAGUAAAUGGAUGCCUUGUACUGCAAAGGGGUGUGAUCUACAAUGAAAAAGAAAAGGGUGCAAAAAAUAAACUUAAAUUUUUAAGGCAUUGGCUGGCCAGUGGAUAUUAAUGGCUACAGGUAGUGACCUGGCACAUGGGGACAGUCAUGCAGAGAGGUUUGUGUAUGGUCUCCUUUUCCCUCUUAAAUAAAUUGGAUUUGGCCAUCA
Molecule: long non-coding RNA, 1012 nt
Organism: Parus major (Great Tit)
Lineage: Eukaryota; Metazoa; Chordata; Aves; Passeriformes; Paridae
Exons: 5
Source: RefSeq, a predicted model, not a curated record